GUCACGAGUUUGAUCCUGGCUCAGAACGAACGCUGGCGGCAUGCCUAACACAUGCAAGUCGAACGAGACCUUCGGGUCUAGUGGCGCACGGGUGCGUAACACGUGGGAAUUUGCCUCGGGGUAUGGAAUAACUCAGGGAAACUUGAGCUAAUACCAUAUAAUGUCUUCGGACCAAAGAUUUAUCGCCCUGAGAUAAGCCCGCGUAGGAUUAGCUAGUUGGUGGGGUAAAGGCUCACCAAGGCGACGAUCCUUAGCUGGUCUGAGAGGAUGAUCAGCCACACUGGGACUGAGACACGGCCCAGACUCCUACGGGAGGCAGCAGUGGGGAAUUUUGGACAAUGGGCGCAAGCCUGAUCCAGCAAUGCCGCGUGCAGGAUGAAGGCCUUCGGGUUGUAAACUGCUUUUGUACGGAACGAAACGGUGAGCUCUAAUACAGUUUGCUAAUGACGGUACCGUAAGAAUAAGCACCGGCUAACUACGUG
RNAcentral lists this ribosomal RNA (482 nucleotides) under uncultured bacterium. Its description in RNAcentral is "bacterial SSU rRNA". It matches the Rfam family "Bacterial small subunit ribosomal RNA", at positions 1 to 507 of the family's 1533-position model. The record is from RNAcentral.